CCUACGGGCGGCUGCAGUGGGGAAUAUUGGACAAUGGGCGAAAGCCUGAUCCAGCCAUGCCGCGUGUGUGAAGAAGGCCUUCGGGUUGUAAAGCACUUUCAGUGGGGAAGAAAGCCUUGGGGCUAAUACCCUCGAGGAAGGACAUCACCCACAGAAGAAGCACCGGCUAACUCCGUGCCAGCAGCCGCGGUAAUACGGAGGGUGCGAGCGUUAAUCGGAAUUACUGGGCGUAAAACGCGCGUAGGCGGUCUGAUAAGCCGGUUGUGAAAGCCCCGGGCUCAACCUGGGAACGGCAUCCGGAACUGUCAGGCUAGAGUGCAGGAGAGGAAGGUAGAAUUCCCGGUGUAGCGGUGAAAUGCGUAGAGAUCGGGAGGAAUACCAGUGGCGAAGGCGGCCUUCUGGACUGACACUGACGCUGAGGUGCGAAAGCGUGGGUAGCAAACAGGAUUAGAUACCCUGGUAGUC
This 465-nucleotide ribosomal RNA is filed under the name Vreelandella stevensii. Its description in RNAcentral is "partial 16S ribosomal RNA". It matches the Rfam family "Bacterial small subunit ribosomal RNA", at positions 338 to 795 of the family's 1533-position model. Lineage: Bacteria; Pseudomonadati; Pseudomonadota; Gammaproteobacteria; Oceanospirillales; Halomonadaceae. The record is from RNAcentral.